AUGUCUUGGUAUCCAGCGGUCAGGUAUUAGUCAUGUCUUGGUAUCCAGGGGUCAGGUAUUAGUCAUGUCUUGGUAUCCAGGGGUCAGGUAUUAGUCAUGUCUUGGUAUCCAGGGGUCAGGUAUUAGUCAUGUCUUGGUAUCCAGGGGUCAGGUAUUAGUCAUGUCUUGGUAUCCAGGGGUCAGGUGUUAGUCAUGUCUUGGUAUCCAGGGGUCAGGUAUUAGUCAUGUCUUGGUAUCCAGGGGUCAGGUAUUAGUCAUGUCUUGGUAUCCAGGGGUCAGGUGUUAGUCAUGUCUUGGUAUCCAGGGGUCAGGUAUUAGUCAUGUCUUGGUAUCCAGGGGUCAGGUAUUAGUCAUGUCUUGGUAUCCAGGGGUCAGGUGUUAGUCAUGUCUUGGUAUCCAGGGGUCAGGUAUUAGUCAUGUCUUGGUAUCCAGGGGUCAGGUAUUAGUCAUGUCUUGGUAUCCAGGGGUCAGGUAUUAGUCAUGUGUUGGUAUCCAGGCGUCAGGUAUUAGUCAUGUCUUGGUAUCCAGGGGUCAGGUUCCAACAACUCUAUAUCUUGGUAUCCAGGGGUCAGGUAUUAGUCAUGUCUUGGUAUCCAGGCGUCAGGUAUUAGUCAUGUCUUGGUAUCCAGGCGUCAGGUAUUAGUCAUGUCUUGGUAUCCAGGGGUCAGGUAUUAGUCAUGU
Oncorhynchus keta (chum salmon) is the source of this 681-nucleotide long non-coding RNA. RefSeq lists it as uncharacterized. The transcript has 4 exons. NCBI's taxonomy places the organism in Eukaryota, Metazoa, Chordata, Actinopteri, Salmoniformes, Salmonidae. The record is from RefSeq and is a predicted model, not a curated record.